CAAGUACCAGACUUCAUGCCCAUGCUGGGCGUUACUGUACACAAAAAUGGAGAAAUGACCCGCGAAUUGAAGAAGCAAGAAGGGGUGAAAUUCAAAGCUUGAAGAAAGUGCCCUAGUUCAUGGAUCAACAGAAGCAUCUCUUCCUCGAUCACCUGAUAGGCAUUAUGUCGUCCAAGCGCCGUGUCCUCUAUGGCUUCGUUCUUGGCAUCGCGGCCUCCAUCCUUGUCGUCUACCUCCUCGCUUCCAUCAAUACCUCCGGUGCCUUUCCUCGCUUUCUCUUUCCCCGCUUUAAUGGCUCAGCCUCUGCUUCAUGUUUGGGAAAUUCCAACUUCUACUGUUCUCGCACCGGCAAAAAUGCAAUUGCUUCGGAAAGCGCAAACCGUACUUCCGUAACUGAAACCCUUGGAGGCAACUUUUCUCAGCCUCAGUCUUAUCUGGGUUCGGUGAAAACCAAACAAGAGAGCUAUGUGAACUCCCUGAGUUCAAGCGUCAACGAGAUGAAGAAACCCCUCUUUGAGAAUAUUUCGAUGAAUGCCACAGAUGUAUUGGAGGUGGGGCGAGGUAAUGUGACGAAGCAGUUAAUUGGUGAUUUUAGAGUAAAUAUUGGGAGUUCGCAGAACUUCUCUGUAAGUAAAAGCGGCAACUCUGAUGCUUCGGUGAAGGGAGUAGUUGGAGAUUCCCAGAAGAAGUGUGAUAUAUUUGAUGGAAAAUGGGUGAGGGAUUCGACCAAGCCUUAUUACGCACCGGGUUCUUGCCCUUACAUCGACAUUGAUUUUGAUUGCUAUAAGAAUGGGAGGCCUGAUGAUGAAUUUUUGAGAUGGAGAUGGAAGCCACAUGGCUGCGACAUUCCAAGCUUGAAUGCAACUGAUUUUCUGGAAAGAUUGAGAGACAGAAGGAUACUCUUUGUUGGGGACUCGCUCAAUCGAAACAUGUGGGAAUCUCUUAUCUGUAUACUACGCGAUAGUGUCAAGGAAAAAAGUAGAGUUUAUGAAGUAUCAGGACGAAGCAAAUUCAAAAUAAAAGGUUAUUAUUCUUUUCGGUUUGAGGACUACAUGUGCUCUGUAGAUUUUGUGAGGUCACCAUUUCUGGUCAAAGAACUGCUUGUUAAAAAUGCAAAUGGUUCAGAAAAUGAACGGCUAAGAUUGGAUUUGCUCGAUGAGACAACGACUGCUUAUCAUCAAGCUGAUAUCGUAGUUUUCAAUACAGGCCAUUGGUGGACUCAUGAGAAAACAUCCAACGGGAUAAACUACUAUCAAGAAGGCAGUCACGUGUACCCUGUUCUUGAGGUCAUGAAGGCAUACAGAAAGGCUCUUACCACCUGGUCUGAGUGGGUUGAUAUGUAUCUUGAUUCCAGCAGAACUCAAGUUGUUUUCAGAGGAUAUUCUCUCACCCACUUCAGAGGUGGGCAGUGGAACUCUGGUGGUCGGUGCCACAAGGAAAUUGAGCCAAUUUACAAUGAAACUUUCUUAAAAAAAUACCCCAAAAAAAUGAUUUCUUUAGAGGGGGUACUCCAAAAAAUGAGAACACCAGUGCUCUACCUUAACGUUAGUAGACUCACAGACUAUAGAAAGGAUGGCCACCCCUCUAUCUAUAGAAAGAAGUACAACUCAGAAGAAGAGCUUAUUGCAGCUGAGAAAAUCCAGGAUUGCAGCCAUUGGUGCUUGCCUGGGGUUCCUGACACCUGGAAUGAGCUUCUUUAUGCUUCCUUAUUGAUGGAAGGCAAAGGAUCAUGGAGGCAAUGACACUUUGCAGCAGUGAUUGCAGUUCACAAAUAGAGCUACACCACCCCCACCUCUACUGACAUGAUUGUGCGUGGUCUUCGCUUUAGUGCACUCUUAUGUGGAUUUCAUGCUCGAAAGAACCUCAUUCUAUUGGGAUUGUUUCCUUUUGUAAAUGGAGUUCCUUUUUCAUCACUUUCUACUGCAUCAAAACAAAGCCACUAUAGGUUUCGUGCUUAUCUAGAACUUUUCAUUUUCUAUGGGCCCGCUUGGGAUCAUUUUUUUAUUGUUGAUUUUGUUUUUUAUAUCACAUUGGGUGUUUUGAUGUUUGAUUGAUAGUAUCGUUUGUAAUUAUUUAUGGGUAGAUUUGCAUGCAUGCCACUCAAUUCCUAUGU
Phalaenopsis equestris is the source of this 2113-nucleotide RNA transcript. It is a transcript of the gene named protein trichome birefringence-like 2, with no coding region annotated. NCBI's taxonomy places the organism in Eukaryota, Viridiplantae, Streptophyta, Magnoliopsida, Asparagales, Orchidaceae. The transcript is spliced from 7 exons. The record is from RefSeq and is a predicted model, not a curated record.